GAUGAAGAACGUAGUGAAAUGCGAUACGUAAUGUGAAUUGCAGAAUUCAGUGAAUCAUCGAAUCUUUGAACGCACAUUGCGCCCGCCAGCACUCUGGCGGGCAUGCCUGUUCGAGUGUCAUUUCAACCAUCAAGCCCCAGGCUUGCGUUGGAGCCCUGCGGCUGCCGCAGCCUCCUAAAAGCAGUGGCGGGCUCGCUAUCACACCGAGUGCAGUAGAUUACUCUUCGCUCAGGGCGUGCAGCGGGUUCCGGCCGUGAAACCCCCUACUUUUAAAGGUUGACCUCGGAUCAGGUAGGAAUACCCGCUGAACUUAAGCAUAUCAAUAAGCGGAGGA
RNAcentral lists this unclassified non-coding RNA (334 nucleotides) under soil metagenome. RNAcentral's name for it is "partial contains 5.8S ribosomal RNA, internal transcribed spacer 2, and large subunit ribosomal RNA". The stretch from base 1 to 120 matches the Rfam family "5.8S ribosomal RNA", at positions 35 to 154 of the family's 154-position model. The record is from RNAcentral.